GGGAGAAACCAGGGGUAGAACAGGGCUGCUAACUUUGUUUUGGGCGGCUCGAACCGUCCUUCUCCCU
This 67-nucleotide transfer RNA is filed under the name Haliotis diversicolor. RNAcentral describes it as "tRNA-Ser". RNAcentral also lists the same sequence under 1 other name. The record is from RNAcentral. Lineage: Eukaryota; Metazoa; Mollusca; Gastropoda; Lepetellida; Haliotidae.